UACGUAGGGUGCAAGCGUUGUCCGGAAUUAUUGGGCGUAAAGAGCUCGUAGGCGGUCUGUUGCGUCGGCUGUGAAAACCCGGGGCUCAACCCCGGGCCUGCAGCCGAUACGGGCAGACUAGAGUUCGGCAGGGGAGACUGGAAUUCCUGGUGUAGCGGUGAAAUGCGCAGAUAUCAGGAGGAACACCGAUGGCGAAGGCAGGUCUCUGGGCCGAUACUGACGCUGAGGAGCGAAAGCGUGGGGAGCGAACAGG
RNAcentral lists this ribosomal RNA (253 nucleotides) under uncultured bacterium. RNAcentral's name for it is "partial 16S ribosomal RNA". It matches the Rfam family "Bacterial small subunit ribosomal RNA", at positions 524 to 776 of the family's 1533-position model. The record is from RNAcentral.